Molecule: long non-coding RNA, 1391 nt
Organism: Octopus bimaculoides (California two-spot octopus)
Lineage: Eukaryota; Metazoa; Mollusca; Cephalopoda; Octopoda; Octopodidae
Source: RefSeq, a predicted model, not a curated record
UUCACUCUCCACCUUUCGCGGUGAUUAGAGGUGAUUAAUAUACGCAGGCCAGAAGAUGGUGACAGAAACUUCUAAAGCUUAGUGAGAAAUCGGCGUCACCUUCACCUUGCUUUUGAUGUUAAUGUUUUACUUCUUUCAAUCGUGAAACUGCGGUCAUGAAGGGGCACCGCCUUGAAGAAGUUUUAGUCGAAUGAAUCGAUCAAGGACUUAUUUUUUUUCUUAAGGCUGCUACUUAUUCUAUCGGUCUCUUUUGCUGAACCGCUAAGUUGGUGGAUGUAUGCACACUAGCAUCGGUUAUCAAGCGGUGGCGAGGAGACAAACACACACACACAAGCAAACUUCUUAAUACACAGCCACGCCAUGCAUCUUUGAGUUCUUAUACACUCCCUGUAAUACCCUGGCUGCUACCAUAUUAUAAUUACAAGAUGUCUUACGUAGUUAGGCACUUUCUGCACUGAAACGUGGAUGUUCCAAAACGGGAAACAUAUACACCACACUCAAUCCAAUCACAUUGUAUAUAGUGUCCUGUCCAACUGUAUGAUAUUAAAUAGUAAUACUAAUGAUGAACAGAAAAUAUUGGUUACGCAACACAUAGUCACACGUAUGUUAACGGAAUAGAGCUCUUAUGAUGUGAAGGCGGAGGUUUUAUUUUCAGUCGUGUUUGUUUGUCCGCGGACAAGAUAUCUGAAGAACCGCUGGAUGGAUUCAGAUGGCACUUUCAAGGAUGUUUGGCCUCGUGACUGUUUCCGUAUACGAAAUCUACUUACAAGGUUUUGGUCAGGUCAUGGCUGUAGUAGAAGUCACUUCCUUCAGAUUGCCAUGUUCGUAUCUAGCUCUUUCGCAAUUUGUUCAGCCGUUGCAAAUGCAUUCAAGUAGCAAAACUUUCUAGAGAAGUUAUGGAAAAGGAAAAAAUGUGAUCCGAAAAUGUCGAUAUGGCUUUCCUAAGGCUGAAGAUUCAAUUCCUUCCCCGUUGCUGAAAGUAUCAAAUUAAGAAGAAAUGGGAAAGAUGUUAAAAGGCUUCAUCAACUUCAAAGAAAAUCAUCCAGAGAAAAAUUAUCAGUGAUUAAUAUGGCAGGCAAAUGUUGGCUGUCAUUAUAUUGGAGAAAAUAGUAUGACGUUAACCAGAAAUGUGAUUAGCUGCCAAACAAAAGCCGAGAGAAAUGAAGCUGAAGAUAUCGAUUGCAGAAGUUCAAGCCGGGCAUCAACCACACCGACCUAGUCAACCUGACAGAUCCUGCAGCGGUUCCGAACAUUGUCUUUCUCUCUAUGACUAAAAAAAAAGAUUUUUUUAAAUAAUUUAUUCUUUAUAUAUUUGAAUAUUUGCGCCUAUGUGCUAAAUAAUUUACGUUUCUUUUGCGCUUUUGAUGCAUAAAACAUACUUCUUGAUUGAA